UGGGACCGAUAACUGGGGUGAAGUCGUAACAAGGUAGCCGUAUCGGAAGGUGCGGCUGGAUCACCUCCUUUCUAAGGAA
Molecule: ribosomal RNA, 79 nt
Filed under: Dorea formicigenerans
Lineage: Bacteria; Bacillati; Bacillota; Clostridia; Lachnospirales; Lachnospiraceae
Also listed under: 1 other name
Description: partial 16S ribosomal RNA
Rfam family: Bacterial small subunit ribosomal RNA (bases 1-71)
Source: RNAcentral